Molecule: ribosomal RNA, 482 nt
Filed under: uncultured bacterium
Lineage: Bacteria
Description: partial 16S ribosomal RNA
Rfam family: Bacterial small subunit ribosomal RNA
Source: RNAcentral
AUUGAACGCUGGCGGCAUGCUUUACACAUGCAAGUCGAACGGCAGCGCGGGGCAACCUGGCGGCGAGUGGCGAACGGGCGAGUAAUAUAUCGGAACGUACCCAGAAGUGGGGGAUAACGUAGCGAAAGUUACGCUAAUACCGCAUACGAUCUACGGAUGAAAGUAGGGGACCGCAAGGCCUUAUGCUUUUGGAGCGGCCGAUAUCUGAUUAGCUAGUUGGCGAGGUAAAGGCUCACCAAGGCGACGAUCAGUAGCUGGUCUGAGAGGACGACCAGCCACACUGGAACUGAGACACGGUCCAGACUCCUACGGGAGGCAGCAGUGGGGAAUUUUGGACAAUGGGCGCAAGCCUGAUCCAGCAAUGCCGCGUGAGUGAAGAAGGCCUUCGGGUUGUAAAGCUCUUUUGUCAGGGAAGAAACGGUAGAGGCUAAUAUCCUUUGCUAAUGACGGUACCUGAAGAAUAAGCACCGGCUAACUACGUG